RNAcentral lists this ribosomal RNA (497 nucleotides) under uncultured bacterium. RNAcentral describes it as "partial 16S ribosomal RNA". It matches the Rfam family "Bacterial small subunit ribosomal RNA", at positions 28 to 507 of the family's 1533-position model. The record is from RNAcentral.
GAUGAACGCUGGCGGCGUGCCUAAUACAUGCAAGUCGAGCGAACAGACGAGGAGCUUGCUCCUCUGACGUUAGCGGCGGACGGGUGAGUAACACGUGGAUAACCUACCUAUAAGACUGGGAUAACUUCGGGAAACCGGAGCUAAUACCGGAUAAUAUAUUGAACCGCAUGGUUCAAUAGUGAAAGACGGUUUUGCUGUCACUUAUAGAUGGAUCCGCGCCGCAUUAGCUAGUUGGUAAGGUAACGGCUUACCAAGGCGACGAUGCGUAGCCGACCUGAGAGGGUGAUCGGCCACACUGGAACUGAGACACGGUCCAGACUCCUACGGGAGGCAGCAGUAGGGAAUCUUCCGCAAUGGGUGAAAGCCUGACGGAGCAACGCCGCGUGAGUGAUGAAGGUCUUCGGAUCGUAAAACUCUGUUAUUAGGGAAGAACAAAUGUGUAAGUAACUACGCACGUCUUGACGGUACCUAAUCAGAAAGCCACGGCUAACUACGUG